This 553-nucleotide ribosomal RNA is filed under the name Colletotrichum sp. HD060405. Its description in RNAcentral is "eukaryotic LSU rRNA". The stretch from base 179 to 332 matches the Rfam family "5.8S ribosomal RNA". The record is from RNAcentral. Lineage: Eukaryota; Fungi; Ascomycota; Sordariomycetes; Glomerellales; Glomerellaceae.
GUCUUACUGAGUUUACGCUCUACAACCCUUUGUGAACAUACCUAUAACUGUUGCUUCGGCGGGUAGGGUCUCCGUGACCCUCCCGGCCUCCCGCCCCCGGGCGGGUCGGCGCCCGCCGGAGGAUAACCAAACUCUGAUUUAACGACGUUUCUUCUGAGUGGUACAAGCAAAUAAUCAAAACUUUUAACAACGGAUCUCUUGGUUCUGGCAUCGAUGAAGAACGCAGCGAAAUGCGAUAAGUAAUGUGAAUUGCAGAAUUCAGUGAAUCAUCGAAUCUUUGAACGCACAUUGCGCCCGCCAGCAUUCUGGCGGGCAUGCCUGUUCGAGCGUCAUUUCAACCCUCAAGCUCUGCUUGGUGUUGGGGCCCUACAGCUGAUGUAGGCCCUCAAAGGUAGUGGCGGACCCUCCCGGAGCCUCCUUUGCGUAGUAACUUUACGUCUCGCACUGGGAUCCGGAGGGACUCUUGCCGUAAAACCCCCAAUUCUCCAAAGGUUGACCUCGGAUCAGGUAGGAAUACCCGCUGAACUUAAGCAUAUCAUUAAAAGCGGAGGAA